This 497-nucleotide ribosomal RNA is filed under the name uncultured bacterium. Its description in RNAcentral is "partial 16S ribosomal RNA". It matches the Rfam family "Bacterial small subunit ribosomal RNA", at positions 28 to 507 of the family's 1533-position model. The record is from RNAcentral.
GAUGAACGCUGGCGGCGUGCCUAAUACAUGCAAGUCGAGCGAACAGACGAGGAGCUUGCUCCUCUGACGUUAGCGGCGGAAGGGUGAGUAACACGUGGAUAACCUACCUAUAAGACUGGGAUAACUUCGGGAAACCGGAGCUAAUACCGGAUAAUAUAUUGAACCGCAUGGUUCAAUAGUGAAAGACGGUUUUGCUGUCACUUAUAGAUGGAUCCGCGCCGCAUUAGCUAGUUGGUAAGGUAACGGCUUACCAAGGCGACGAUGCGUAGCCGACCUGAGAGGGUGAUCGGCCACACUGGAACUGAGACACGGUCCAGACUCCUACGGGAGGCAGCAGUAGGGAAUCUUCCGCAAUGGGCGAAAGCUUGACGGAGCAACGCCGCGUGAGUGAUGAAGGUCUUCGGAUCGUAAAACUCUGUUAUUAGGGAAGAACAAAUGUGUAAGUAACUAUGCACGUCUUGACGGUACCUAAUCAGAAAGCCACGGCUAACUACGUG